This 207-nucleotide ribosomal RNA is filed under the name uncultured bacterium. RNAcentral's name for it is "partial 16S ribosomal RNA". It matches the Rfam family "Bacterial small subunit ribosomal RNA", at positions 568 to 774 of the family's 1533-position model. The record is from RNAcentral.
AGUGUAGGCGGAGAUGCAAGUCCGAUGUGAAAUCCCCCGGCUCAACCGGGGAAUAGCAUUGGAUACUGCAUUUCUUGAGUGUGGUAGGGGAGAGUGGAACUCUUGGUGGAGCGGUGAAAUGCGUAGAUAUCAAGAGGAACGCCGGUGGCGAAAGCGACUCUCUGGACCAUUACUGACGCUGAGGCUCGAAAGCUAGGGUAGCGAACG